GGAAAAAGUAGAUGUGCUUUGCUUGUCUUGAUGAACUAAACUUUACUAUGUAAACCAGUCACACAGAAGAAGGCUAAUCCGUAACAUCCAUACUCACACACAGAAGUCAGAAGGAAGAAAUGGAAUGGCAAUGAAUUACCAGCCUCCAGUGACUGCAGCGAGCCGUCAUCAGUGUGUAGACCAACAGAAAUUCAAAUCAAGAGGAGGGAGAGAGACCAGUGAAAAUCCUAUUCUGCUUGCAGACUUCUUUUCCUGAACUGCUUCUGGGUUAUGCUAUGACUGCAACUGUAUUCAUGAGGAGGAAAUAAAAAUUUCAUUGUUAACCUCAAAAUGAUUUCACAAGGGUUCAGCGAAAUGGAGAUGUUAAGGGAAUUAAACAAACCGCGU
This 387-nucleotide long non-coding RNA is filed under the name Gallus gallus (chicken). Lineage: Eukaryota; Metazoa; Chordata; Aves; Galliformes; Phasianidae. The record is from RNAcentral.